GGGCCCGCACAAGCGGUGGAGCAUGUGGUUUAAUUCGAUGCAACGCGAAGAACCUUACCAGGGCUUGACAUACUACAAAUUCUUUAGAGAUGAAGAAGUGCCUUCGGGAAUGUAGAUACAGGUGGUGCAUGGCUGUCGUCAGCUCGUGUCGUGAGAUGUUGGGUUAAGUCCCGCAACGAGCGCAACCCUUAUUUUUAGUUACUAAUUCGUUAGGUUCUCUAGAAAGACUGCCGGUGACAAACCGGAGGAAGGUGAGGAUGACGUCAAGUCAGCAUGCCCCUUAUGUCCUGGGCUACACACGUGCUACAAUGGUUAAGACAAAGAGUCGCGAGCUCGCGAGAGUCAGCUAAUCUCAUAAACUUAGCCUAAGUUCAGAUUGCAGGCUGCAACUCGCCUGCAUGAAGUUGGAAUCGCUAGUAAUCG
RNAcentral lists this ribosomal RNA (423 nucleotides) under uncultured bacterium. RNAcentral describes it as "bacterial SSU rRNA". It matches the Rfam family "Bacterial small subunit ribosomal RNA", at positions 917 to 1344 of the family's 1533-position model. The record is from RNAcentral.